RNAcentral lists this ribosomal RNA (468 nucleotides) under uncultured bacterium. RNAcentral describes it as "partial 16S ribosomal RNA". It matches the Rfam family "Bacterial small subunit ribosomal RNA", at positions 28 to 507 of the family's 1533-position model. The record is from RNAcentral.
GACGAACGCUGGCGGCGUGCUUAACACAUGCAAGUCGAACGGAAAGGCCCUGCUUUUGUGGGGUGCUCGAGUGGCGAACGGGUGAGUAACACGUGAGUAACCUGCCCUUGACUUUGGGAUAACUUCAGGAAACUGGGGCUAAUACCGGAUAGGAGCUCCUGCUGCAUGGUGGGGGUUGGAAAGUUUCGGCGGUUGGGGUUGGACUAGCGGCUUAUCGGCUUGUUGGUGGGGUAGUGGCUUACCAAGGCUUUGACGGGUAGCCGGCCUGAGAGGGUGACCGGCGACAUUGGGACUGAGAUACGGCCCAGACUCCUACAGUAGGCAGCAGUGGGGAAUAUUGCACAGUGGGCGGAAGCCUGAUGCAGCAACGCCGCGUGCGGGAUGACGGCCUUCGGGUUGUAAACCGCUUUCGCCUGUGACGAAGCGUGAGUGACGGUAAUGAGUGAAGAAGCACCGGCUAACUACGUG